Mus caroli (Ryukyu mouse) is the source of this 1425-nucleotide non-coding RNA. Lineage: Eukaryota; Metazoa; Chordata; Mammalia; Rodentia; Muridae. The record is from RefSeq and is a predicted model, not a curated record.
GCUUUGAUCAGGAAUCUUGACCUUGCUCCAUUUUCUCUCCACCACCUAGUUCCCCUCUCUUUCAGCCCCAGGCCUGCCCCUCAGGUGUACCCUGUCCAUGUGAGCCAUGGGCCAGCUUGAAACAAUCUGGCAUCAGGAAGGGGACCUGAGGAAGGUCAGGAAGACGCUGCUGAAGGAACGAUGUUUUGUGUGGAGGUCCACGGGAAGAAAAAGAAAAGGAUUGUUCGGGCACCGAAGCAACAGCCCCGGCCUGACACUCAGGUUUACCCUGUUCAUGUGAGCAGCAGGCCGGCUCGCAACAGUGUCUGAUGCCAUUGCCUUGGAAGUAGAACUUCAGAUGGGACCUGAUUUGUCAUUCGAAAUUACCCAAUGUAUCAGCUUACCAAAUAAGUCUACUGAAGCUCCACAGGAAUAUUGAAAACCAGUUUUACCAGGCCGCAGGUUUGACAGAAUUGCAACCUCUAUAUUUGGGCUAUGAUCAACUUGUUUGGACACUUAGCAAAAUAUUUUUGCUGGUCAGCAUUUAAAAUGUGCUUAUUAUUUGUACCAAUUGACGUUUCCUAAAAUAAGGUAUUGGGUUAUGUCAUUAAAUGUACUCCUGUGCCAGAAUAUCAUUAGUCUAUAAGGAAUCUAGAAGGAUUAGGUGCCAAAAUACCCGGCACAAUGCUUCUAUAUUUUUAGCAUCAUACAAAACCAAAAUUGCUAAGAACUUUCUAGACCAUCCAUGAUGUAUUCCUCUAGUCAUUUCAAACACUGUAGGGCUUCUCUCAUUAUCAGCCUGCUCACUCUUUUUACAUCUCCCACACUUACACCAGAAUAAGUCAGGUUUGCUCAGCCAUCCUUUAUUUUUUUAAUUUUUUUUAACUAAGUCUUGUGCUGAUUAUUUAAUAUCUCUGUCUCAUUUUGUUCUGUUUUGGGAAACCUCUGUUUGAAAAUCAAGUUUGUUACAGAAGCACAUACCUUCAAUAAUGUCUCCAACAAAAAGCUUAUAGUUAAAUUAAUGUUUGCACUCAGAAGUGCAACCUAACAGGGAGGGCCUGAAAAAGAAGGAGAGGAGGCUAUUAAAUAUUUUUAGCAAUAUGUUGCCUUUGUCUUCUGCAGAAUAUGUAGAGUAUGCUCUUUAAUUUAGUAAAUAUUUUUAAGACGUAGAGAUACAUUGUUGUAGCUAACCAAUUCUUAAUCAAAACUUCUGAAAUUUUUGUGUUUUCCAUACCUAUCAGAAGUUUUCCAGCUUGUUUGAAUUAUGAUUUUCCUCUUCUCUUCCCAAUCUCUUGCAAAAAAGAAAAAGUGGGAUCUGCUAGUGAACUGAGCAGAAAUGUUUUAUACUCCUUCUGAGCUAUAUAAGUUAAUAAUUGGAUACUUGAUCAUUUGUUUUAUUAUGUAAUCGAUAAAAUGGUGAUGUGUAUUAAAGUUAGUUCAACCAUA